AGAAUAGACUACCCGGGUAGUCCACGCCCUAAACGAUGCGAACUGGAUGUUGGGUACAUUACGGUACUCAGUGUCGAAGCUAACGCGUUAAGUUCGCCGCCUGGGGAGUACGGUCGCAAGACUGAAACUCAAAGGAAUUGACGGGGGCCCGCACAAGCGGUGGAGUAUGUGGUUUAAUUCGAUGCAACGCGAAGAACCUUACCUGGCCUUGACAUCUGUCGAAUCCUGCAGAGAUGCGGGAGUGCCGCAAGGAACGACAAGACAGGUGCUGCAUGGCUGUCGUCAGCUCGUGUCGUGAGAUGUUGGGUUAAGUCCCGCAACGAGCGCAACCCUUGUCCCUAGUUGCCAGCACGUAAUGGUGGGAACUCUAGGGAGACUGCCGGUGACAAACCGGAGGAAGGUGGGGAUGACGUCAAGUCCUCAUGGCCCUUACGGCCAGGGCUACACACGUACUACAAUGGUCGGUACAGAGGGUUGCGAAGCCGCGAGGUGGAGCCAAUCCCAGAAAACCGAUCCCAGUCCGGAUCGGAGU
This 532-nucleotide ribosomal RNA is filed under the name uncultured bacterium. Its description in RNAcentral is "bacterial SSU rRNA". It matches the Rfam family "Bacterial small subunit ribosomal RNA", at positions 775 to 1304 of the family's 1533-position model. The record is from RNAcentral.